This 253-nucleotide ribosomal RNA is filed under the name uncultured bacterium. RNAcentral's name for it is "partial 16S ribosomal RNA". It matches the Rfam family "Bacterial small subunit ribosomal RNA", at positions 524 to 776 of the family's 1533-position model. The record is from RNAcentral.
UAUGGAGGGGACUAGCGUUGUUCGGAAUUACUGGGCGUAAAGCGCACGUAGGCGGAUUUGUAAGUCAGGGGUGAAAUCCCGGGGCUUAACCUCCAGACGUCGACGGAAACCGCGCGGCUAGAGUCCGGAAGAGGAGAGUGGAGUUCCUGGUGUAGCGGUGAAAUGCGCAGAUAUCAGGAAGAACACCAAUGGCGAAGGCAGCUCUCUGGGACGGUACUGACGCUGAGACGCGAAAGCGUGGGGAGCGAACAGG